RNAcentral lists this ribosomal RNA (301 nucleotides) under uncultured bacterium. Its description in RNAcentral is "partial 16S ribosomal RNA". It matches the Rfam family "Bacterial small subunit ribosomal RNA", at positions 509 to 807 of the family's 1533-position model. The record is from RNAcentral.
CAGCCGCCGCGGGAAUACGAAGGGGGCUAGCGUUGCUCGGAAUGACUGGGCGUAAAGGGCGCGUAGGCGGCCUGCAUAGUCAGAUGUGAAAUUCCUGGGCUUAACCUGGGGGCUGCAUUUGAUACGUGUGAGCUUGAGUGGGGAAGAGGGUCGUGGAAUUCCCAGUGUAGAGGUGAAAUUCGUAGAUAUUGGGAAGAACACCGGUGGCGAAGGCGGCGACCUGGUCCUUUACUGACGCUGAGGCGCGAAAGCGUGGGGAGCAAACAGGAUUAGAUACCCCUGUAGUCCCUGUCUCUUAUAC